GACAGAGGGUGCAAGCGUUGUUCGGAAUUAUUGGGCGUAAAGGGCGCGUAGGCGGCUUCGUAAGUCAGGUGUGAAAUCCCGGGGCUUAACCCCGGAAGUGCAUCUGAUACUGCGAAGCUUGAGUCUCGGAGAGGAUGGUGGAAUUCCCAGUGUAGAGGUGAAAUUCGUAGAUAUUGGGAGGAAUACCGGUGGCGAAGGCGACCAUCUGGACGAAGACUGACGCUGAGGCGCGAAAGCGUGGGGAG
RNAcentral lists this ribosomal RNA (245 nucleotides) under uncultured bacterium. Its description in RNAcentral is "partial 16S ribosomal RNA". It matches the Rfam family "Bacterial small subunit ribosomal RNA", at positions 524 to 768 of the family's 1533-position model. The record is from RNAcentral.